Molecule: ribosomal RNA, 468 nt
Filed under: uncultured bacterium
Lineage: Bacteria
Description: partial 16S ribosomal RNA
Rfam family: Bacterial small subunit ribosomal RNA
Source: RNAcentral
GACGAACGCUGGCGGCGUGCUUAACACAUGCAAGUCGAACGGAAAGGCCCUGCUUUUGUGGGGUGCUCGAGUGGCGAACGGGUGAGUAACACGUGAGUAACCUGCCCUUGACUUUGGGAUAACUUCAGGAAACUGGGGCUAAUACCGGAUAGGAGCUCCUGCUGCAUGGUGGGGGUUGGAAAGCUUCGGCGGUUGGGGAUGGACUCGCGGCUUAUCAGCUUGUCGGUGGGGUAGUGGCUUACCAAGGCUUUGACGGGUAGCCGGCCUGAGAGGGUGACCGGCCACAUUGGGACUGAGAUACGGCCCAGACUCCUACGGGAGGCAGCAGUGGGGAAUAUUGCACAAUGGGCGGAAGCCUGAUGCAGCAACGCCGCGUGCGGGAUGACGGCCUUCGGGUUGUAAACCGCUUUCGCCUGUGACGAAGCGUGAGUGACGGUAAUGGGUAAAGAAGCACCGGCUAACUACGUG